Molecule: unclassified non-coding RNA, 200 nt
Filed under: soil metagenome
Description: partial contains internal transcribed spacer 2 and large subunit ribosomal RNA
Source: RNAcentral
CAUUUGUACUCUCAAGCUCUGCUUGGUGUUGGGUGUUUGUCCUUUCCCUGCGUUAGGACUCGCCUCAAAUUCAUUGGCAGCCGAUAUAUUGGUUUGAAGCGCAGCACAAUUUGGCGAUUCGGGCUGGUUAUUGUUGGCGUCCAGUAAGCACAUUUAACACUUUUGACCUCGGAUCAAGUAGGGAUACCCGCUGAACUUAA